UGGGGAAUAUUGCACAAUGGGCGCAAGCCUGAUGCAGCCAUGCCGCGUGUAUGAAGAAGGCCUUCGGGUUGUAAAGUACUUUCAGUCGGGAGGAAGGCGGUGAGGUUAAUAACCUCAUCGAUUGACGUUACCCGCAGAAGAAGCACCGGCUAACUCCGUGCCAGCAGCCGCGGUAAUACGGAGGGUGCAAGCGUUAAUCGGAAUUACUGGGCGUAAAGCGCACGCAGGCGGUCUGUCAAGUCGGAUGUGAAAUCCCCGGGCUCAACCUGGGAACUGCAUUCGAAACUGGCAGGCUAGAGUCUUGUAGAGGGGGGUAGAAUUCCAGGUGUAGCGGUGAAAUGCGUAGAGAUCUGGAGGAAUACCGGUGGCGAAGGCGGCCCCCUGGACAAAGACUGACGCUCAGGUGCGAAAGCGUGGGGAGCAAACAGG
This 429-nucleotide ribosomal RNA is filed under the name Chloroflexota bacterium. Its description in RNAcentral is "Chloroflexi bacterium partial 16S ribosomal RNA". It matches the Rfam family "Bacterial small subunit ribosomal RNA", at positions 355 to 776 of the family's 1533-position model. Lineage: Bacteria; Bacillati; Chloroflexota. The record is from RNAcentral.